Molecule: small nuclear RNA, 18 nt
Filed under: Arabidopsis thaliana (thale cress)
Lineage: Eukaryota; Viridiplantae; Streptophyta; Magnoliopsida; Brassicales; Brassicaceae
Description: snRNA_14540
Source: RNAcentral
CAACUGCGCGCUAACCUA